UUGCCACCCUAGGAGACUGAAGUCUUGCAUUUGUCCACAGAAAAGAUAUACCACUGGCAUCAGCAGUGCAAGAUUCCCCCUCACUUGGACCACCAAUUGGCUUGACUUUCAAAGAUGCUGAUCACUUGCAGCUCCCACUGACAUCAAUGGAAUUUCUGGGUGCUCGGCACGCAAUCAAGUUAAAUG
Molecule: small RNA, 186 nt
Filed under: Gopherus agassizii (Agassiz's desert tortoise)
Lineage: Eukaryota; Metazoa; Chordata; Testudines; Testudinidae
Description: TUC338 (ENSGAGG00000021135.1)
Source: RNAcentral